UCAAAUGAAUUGACGGGGAGCACCACAACAGGUGGAGCCUGCGGUUUAAUCGGACUUCGAACGCCGGGGAAAACUCACCAGAUAAGACGGCUGAAUGAUAGUCGGGCUGAAGACUCUACUUGACUAGCUGAGAGGAGGUGCAUGGCCGUCGUCAGUUCGUACUGUGAAGCAUCCUGUUAAGUCAGGCAACGAGCGAGACCCACGCCAACAGUUGCCAGCGUACUCUCUGGAGUGACGGGUACACUGUGGGACCGCCGCUGCUAAAGCGGAGGAAGGAAUGGGCAACGGUAGGUCAGUAUGCCCCGAAUAUCCCGGGCUACACGCGAGCUACAAUGGUUGGUACAAUGGGUAUCUACCCCGAAAGGGGACGGGAAUCUCCUAAAACCAAUCUUAGUUCGGAUUGAGGGCUGCAACUCGCCCUCAUGAAGCUGGAAUCCGUAGUAAUCGCGUUUCAACAGAACGCGGUGAAUACGUCCCUGCUCCUU
RNAcentral lists this ribosomal RNA (485 nucleotides) under uncultured Methanolinea sp. RNAcentral's name for it is "bacterial SSU rRNA". It matches the Rfam family "Archaeal small subunit ribosomal RNA", at positions 856 to 1338 of the family's 1478-position model. The record is from RNAcentral. Lineage: Archaea; Methanobacteriati; Methanobacteriota; Methanomicrobia; Methanomicrobiales; Methanoregulaceae.